UUCGGGGUUUGUAAUUUGGCCGUGGGUAGGUAAUUGGCUGGAGCAGGGCGGCAGGGCGCGGCAGCCAAUCAGCGCGCGGCUUCUAUAGGGCUUGAGUUAUUAGACGCUGAUCUCAAAACAUCCUUCAUCAGACACGAAGGAGAGGCCAACAGAUGAGGGAAGCCAUUUUUCUGCAAUGGAAUUAAAUGGCCAAGUGGGUUUUUCCUUUGUUGCAAAUGGGGAAUGUUUUUCCUUUGACUCUACCAUCCAGUUCAGGACGUCUCAGUGUGUUUAACAUUUGUCAACAGGCCCAAGGACUCACAGUUGGAAGACUGGAGAAGACUUUUUAAAAAGAUCUGGAUUUUUCCUUAUGACUUGGAAUCCAUCUUUGUCUUGUAUAACUAGGUCAUAGCACACCAUUCAUGUCAGCAGUUAACAGUUUUGAAUUCCAAAAAAACCUAAAGCAGUAAACAGUCCUCAGCGAAGCCGCCUUUUUGCCUACCCAACCCUGGAAAGUUUGCAGAAGUGGAAGGAGCAGAACGUGAGGGUGUAACUUACAAAAAGGUUCUGGGCCGGAGAAGGGGCGACGUUCGGGCACCCCCCGAAUGGACAAUCUUUCCUUCUGUCAACGGCAGGGGCAGGCCUAGUUUGACUCUGACAGUCCUCCCACUAAGAGUUUCGCUCUUGUUGCCCAGGCAAUGGUGUGAUCUGGGCUCACCGCAACCUCCGCCUCCAGGGUUCAAGCGAUUCUCCUGCCUCAGCCUCCGAGUAGCUGGGAUUACAGGCAUGUGCCACCACGCCCGGAUAAUUUUGUAUUUUUAGUAGAGACAGGGUUUCUCCAUGUUGGUCAGGCUGGUCUCAAACUGACCUCAGGUGAUCCGCCCACCUCGGCCUCCCAAAGUGCUGGGAUUACAGGCAUGAGCCACCGCGCCUGGCCGGACAAUAAUGUUUUGAGCUGUUGCUGAGUCUGGCUUUUGUGACGGGAACUUUUAGCACUCAAGGAGUGGCCUUGUCUCUGGCCUGUCCCCGAGUGCUCAUGGGCAGCCAAGGCCUGGGGACUGCUCAGGCAGGGUAGAUGUAUUUGCCAGGCCAGCUCCCGUCCCUGGGACCUCAGGGAGUAGCUUCAUCCCUGAAGGCUGAGUGUCUUCUGCCUCAUGUGGGUGGCCCCUCUGCAGGGUUCUCAGGCAUCCAGGGAAGUGGGUGCCACAGCGUUGCCUCCAGCCUCACUGGGGCUGGCUGGACUUUGCUCUGACAACACAGCAGUGGCUGGGCCCCUGCAACUCUCCAGGGCUCAGUUUCCCUGUUGGCCGCACUAUGGCAUAGGCCCCUGUGUGGACACCGAUGAGCUGACCCCACAAAUGCCACCCGGCCGCUCCCCCAGGCUUCAGUGGCCUAACAGCUGUUGUGUCAGGAACCAGCUUAAAGAAUCUUUCUUGCUUUCUCAAACUCUCCAGGAAUUCCUGGUGACUGGAAGGGGGAGUGACUCAGGCCCUCAACCUCUAGCAGGUAAGGGAGCUACCUCCUGGGUGGGCAUGCCCAGUUCCUCAGUGGGCCCAGCGCGGCCCAGCCUCCGAGGAAGCUCUGAGCAGCUGGCUUGGCUCCGAGGUAUUUUUAGCUACAGAUCCAGCCCCCCUCCAUCACCACAACAGUCGAGUCCAAAUCAAACGCGCUCCAGGCAGGUGGGGCUGGGGUUCUGCCAGCCUCCUGGCCAGCAGGGGUGGGUGGGCAGACUGGGGCCAGUAUCAGCUGUUCUGCCUGGACCCAGGCCGGGCUGGGAAGGCACACUUGUGCUUAUUUCCCGCCUCCACUUCUGUGCAAGCUUGUGCUGUCAUAAGCAGAGAUCACAGCCCCAUUUCUUGGAUGGAGAAAGUGGACACUGAGGUCUGAGGCUUUUGAGGACAGUCAGGAGCCCUCCUAUGGGCUCCAGUGAUGCACUCACCAGCUUCUGGUCCUCUUCUUCCACCUCUUAGAGUGCCUUGGCUCCCUCCUGUCGUCCUGGGGAACCUCGGCCCCAGCCCUGCCUCCCCAGCCAGUCACAGCUCCUCCCUGGUCACCCUGAGGGAGCUCAGGGCCCGGCUGGUAGCUGGGUUGCUCUGCUUCUGUCCCCCACUCCUGUGGAGCCUGGCAGGCAACUCCAUGAUCUGACCCCGGUUACCUUGACAGCCCUGCCUGGCCUCCCCUCUCAUGGCCCAGCCACCCCAGAACCUGAAGAGGUUUUCUAGCUGCCGUGCAUUUGCCAGGCUGGGUUACCCACCCUACUUUCCCUGCCUGCCCUCCAGUGCUGCCAGGCCUAGUGUGCCAGCCAGCGCUCAGCCUUCAGUAAAGGGUUCCCCUGCUUCCAACCUCCAUUGCACUGCUUCCCCUAAGACUGUGACCUCCUGGAAGGCUGGAGCACAACUGCCUCUCAAUAAACGUGUUGCA
Molecule: long non-coding RNA, 2400 nt
Filed under: Homo sapiens (human)
Lineage: Eukaryota; Metazoa; Chordata; Mammalia; Primates; Hominidae
Description: non-protein coding LINC01089:8
Source: RNAcentral